RNAcentral lists this ribosomal RNA (1050 nucleotides) under Halococcus sp. IARI-BGAB1. Its description in RNAcentral is "bacterial SSU rRNA". It matches the Rfam family "Archaeal small subunit ribosomal RNA", at positions 1 to 1051 of the family's 1478-position model. The record is from RNAcentral. Lineage: Archaea; Methanobacteriati; Methanobacteriota; Halobacteria; Halobacteriales; Halococcaceae.
UCCGGUUGAUCCUGCCGGAGGCUAUUGCUAUCGGGAUCCGAUUCAGGCAUGCUAGUCGUACGAGUUCAUACUCGUGGCGUAUAGCUCAGUAACACGUGGUCAAACUACCCUCUGGACUGAGAUACCCUCGGGAAACUGAGGUCAAUCUCGGAUACUGCUUUCACGUUGGAACAACGGAAAGCUGGAAACGGUCCGCCGCCGGAGGACGUGACUGCGGCUGAUUAGGUAGACGGUGGGGUAACGGCCCACCGUGCCAAUAAUCAGUACGGGUUGUGAGAGCAAGAGCCCGGAGACGGAAUCUGAGACAAGAUUCCGGGCCCUACGGGGCGCAGCAGCCGCGAAACCUUUACACUGCACGACAGUGCGAUAAGGGGAUCCCGAGUGCGAGGGCAUACAGUCCUCGCUUUUCGUGACCGUAAGGUGGUCACAGAAUAAGGGCUGGGCAAGACCGGUGCCAGCCGCCGCGGUAAUACCGGCAGCCCGAGUGAUAGCCAAUUUUAUUGGGCCUAAAGCGUCCGUAGCUGGCCGAACAGGUCCGUCGGGAAAUCCACCCGCUUAACGGGUGGGCGUCCGGCGGAAACCAGUCGGCUUGGGGCCGGGAGACCAGAGGGGUACGUCCGGGGUAGGAGUGAAAUCCCGUAAUCCUGGACGGACCACCGGUUGCGAAAGCGCCUCUGGAGAACGGACCCGACAGUGAGGGACGAAAGCUAGGGUCUCGAACCGGAUUAGAUACCCGGGUAGUCCUAGCCGUAAACGAUGCUCGCUAGGUGUGACGCAGGCUACGAGCCUGCGUUGCGCCGUAGGGAAGCCGAGAAGCGAGCCGCCUGGGAAGUACGUCCGCAAGGAUGAAACUUAAAGGAAUUGGCGGGGGAGCACUACAACCGGAGGAGCCUGCGGUUUAAUUGGACUCAACGCCGGACAUCUCACCGGCACCGACAACGUGCAGUGACGGUCAGUUUGAUGAGCUUACCUGAGCCGUUGAGAGGAGGUGCAUGGCCGCCGUCAGCUCGUACCGUGAGGCGUCCUGUUAAGUCAGGCAACGAGCGAGAC